ACGUAGGUGGCGAGCGUUGUCCGGAAUUACUGGGUGUAAAGGGCGUGUAGGCGGGGAUGUAAGUCGGAUGUGAAAUUCCAGGGCUCAACCCUGGCGCUGCAUCUGAAACUAUAUUUCUUGAGUGCUGGAGAGGAAAGCGGAAUUCCUAGUGUAGCGGUGAAAUGCGUAGAUAUUAGGAGGAACACCAGUGGCGAAGGCGGCUUUCUGGACAGUAACUGACGCUGAGGCGCGAAAGCGUGGGGAGCGAACAGGAUUAGAUACCCUGGUAGUCCACGCUGUAAACGAUGGAUACUAGGUGUAGGAGGUAUCGACCCCUUCUGUGCCGGAGUUAACACAAUAAGUAUCCCACCUGGGGAGUACGGCCGCAAGGUUG
Molecule: ribosomal RNA, 373 nt
Filed under: uncultured bacterium
Lineage: Bacteria
Description: bacterial SSU rRNA
Rfam family: Bacterial small subunit ribosomal RNA
Source: RNAcentral